GAUGAAGAACGCAGCGAAAUGCGAUAAGUAAUGUGAAUUGCAGAAUUCAGUGAAUCAUCGAAUCUUUGAACGCACAUUGCGCCCGCCAGUAUUCUGGCGGGCAUGCCUGUUCGAGCGUCAUUUCAACCAUCAAGCCCCCGGCUUGUGUUGGGGACCUGCGGCUGCCGCAGGCCCUGAAAAGCAGUGGCGGGCUCGCUGUCACACCGAGCGUAGUAGCACAUCUCGCUCAGGGCGUGCGGCGGGCUCCUGCCGUGAAACCCCCCACUGUAACCCCAAAGGUUGACCUCGGAUCAGGUAGGAAUACCCGCUGAACUUAAGCAUAUCAAUAAGCGGAGGA
RNAcentral lists this unclassified non-coding RNA (337 nucleotides) under soil metagenome. RNAcentral's name for it is "partial contains 5.8S ribosomal RNA, internal transcribed spacer 2, and large subunit ribosomal RNA". The stretch from base 1 to 120 matches the Rfam family "5.8S ribosomal RNA", at positions 35 to 154 of the family's 154-position model. The record is from RNAcentral.